AACGAACGCUGGCGGCAUGCCUAACACAUGCAAGUCGAACGAGACCUUCGGGUCUAGUGGCGCACGGGUGCGUAACGCGUGGGAACCUGCCCUUAGGUUCGGAAUAACUCCCCGAAAGGGGUGCUAAUACCGGAUAAUGUCUUCGGACCAAAGAUUUAUCGCCUUUGGAUGGGCCCGCGUUGGAUUAGCUAGUUGGUAGGGUAAAAGCCUACCAAGGCGACGAUCCAUAGCUGGUCUGAGAGGAUGAUCAGCCACACUGGGACUGAGACACGGCCCAGACUCCUACGGGAGGCAGCAGUGGGGAAUAUUGGACAAUGGGCGAAAGCCUGUUCCAGCAAUGCCGCGUGAGUGAUGAAGGCCUUAGGGUUGUAAAGCUCUUUUACCCGGGAUGAUAAUGACAGUACCGGGAGAAUAAGCUCCGGCUAACUCCGUG
RNAcentral lists this ribosomal RNA (433 nucleotides) under uncultured bacterium. RNAcentral's name for it is "partial 16S ribosomal RNA". It matches the Rfam family "Bacterial small subunit ribosomal RNA", at positions 29 to 507 of the family's 1533-position model. The record is from RNAcentral.